RNAcentral lists this ribosomal RNA (758 nucleotides) under uncultured bacterium. RNAcentral describes it as "bacterial SSU rRNA". It matches the Rfam family "Bacterial small subunit ribosomal RNA", at positions 8 to 760 of the family's 1533-position model. The record is from RNAcentral.
AGAGUUUGAUCAUGGCUCAGAUUGAACGCUGGCGGCAGGCCUAACACAUGCAAGUCGAGCGGAUGAAGGGAGCUUGCUCCUGGAUUCAGCGGCGGACGGGUGAGUAAUGCCUAGGAAUCUGCCUGGUAGUGGGGGAUAACGUCCGGAAACGGGCGCUAAUACCGCAUACGUCCUGAGGGAGAAAGUGGGGGAUCUUCGGACCUCACGCUAUCAGAUGAGCCUAGGUCGGAUUAGCUAGUUGGUGGGGUAAAGGCCUACCAAGGCGACGAUCCGUAACUGGUCUGAGAGGAUGAUCAGUCACACUGGAACUGAGACACGGUCCAGACUCCUACGGGAGGCAGCAGUGGGGAAUAUUGGACAAUGGGCGAAAGCCUGAUCCAGCCAUGGCCGCGUGUGUGAAGAAGGUCUUCGGAUUGUAAAGCACUUUAAGUUGGGAGGAAGGGCAGUAAGUUAAUACCUUGCUGUUUUGACGUUACCAACAGAAUAAGCACCGGCUAACUUCGUGCCAGCAGCCGCGGUAAUACGAAGGGUGCAAGCGUUAAUCGGAAUUACUGGGCGUAAAGCGCGCGUAGGUGGUUCAGCAAGUUGGAUGUGAAAUCCCCGGGCUCAACCUGGGAACUGCAUCCAAAACUACUGAGCUAGAGUACGGUAGAGGGUGGUGGAAUUUCCUGUGUAGCGGUGAAAUGCGUAGAUAUAGGAAGGAACACCAGUGGCGAAGGCGACCACCUGGACUGAUACUGACACUGAGGUGCGAAAGC